GACGAACGCUGGCGGCAGGCUUAACACAUGCAAGUCGAGCGCCCCGCAAGGGGAUCGGCAGACGGGUGAGUAACGCGUGGGGACGUACCUUUUGGUGCAGAACAACUCCGGGAAACUGGAGCUAAUACCGGAUAAGCGCUAACGGGGAAAGAGGUAUCGCGCAGAAAUCGGGGCGCGUCUGAUUAUCGAGUGGGUGAGGUAGCGGCGCACCAAGGCGACGAGUAGUAGCUGUUGUGAGAGGAUGAUAAGCCACACUGGGACUGAGACACGGACCUGACCCCUACGGGAGGGAGCAGUGGGGAACAUUGUACACUGGGCGCAAGUCUGGUCCAGCCAUGCCGGGUGAGUGAUGAAGGGCUUAGGGUUGUAAAGCUCUCUUGGCCGGGAAGAUAAUGACGGUAACGGAAGAAUAAGCACCGGCUAACUACGUG
RNAcentral lists this ribosomal RNA (431 nucleotides) under uncultured bacterium. Its description in RNAcentral is "partial 16S ribosomal RNA". It matches the Rfam family "Bacterial small subunit ribosomal RNA", at positions 28 to 507 of the family's 1533-position model. The record is from RNAcentral.